UGGGGAAUAUUGCACAAUGGAGGAAACUCUGAUGCAGCGAUGCCGCGUGAGGGAAGAAGGUUUUAGGAUUGUAAACCUCUGUCUUCAGGGACGAAAAAAGGACGGUACCUGAGGAGGAAGCUCCGGCUAACUACGUGCCAGCAGCCGCGGUAAUACGUAGGGAGCGAGCGUUGUCCGGAAUUACUGGGUGUAAAGGGAGCGUAGGCGGGAUCGCAAGUCAGAUGUGAAAACUAUGGGCUUAACCCAUAAACUGCAUUUGAAACUGUGGUUCUUGAGUGAAGUAGAGGUAAGCGGAAUUCCUAGUGUAGCGGUGAAAUGCGUAGAUAUUAGGAGGAACAUCAGUGGCGAAGGCGGCUUACUGGGCUUUAACUGACGCUGAGGCUCGAAAGCGUGGGGAGCAAACAGGAUUAGAUACCCUGGUAGUCCACGCCGUAAACGAUGAUUACUAGGUGUGGGGGGACUGACCCCUUCCGUGCCGCAGCAAACGCAAUAAGUAAUCCACCUGGGGAGUACGACCGCAAGGUUGAAACUCAAAGGAAUUGACGGGGGCCCGCACAAGCAGUGGAGUAUGUGGAUUAAUUCGAAGCAACGCGAAGAACCUUACCAGGUCUUGACAUCGUAUGCAUAGCUCAGAGAUGAGUGAAAUCUCUUCGGAGACAUAUAGACAGGUGGUGCAUGGUUGUCGUCAGCUCGUGUCGUGAGAUGUUGGGUUAAGUCCCGCAACGAGCGCAACCCUUACUGUUAGUUGCUACGCAAGAGCACUCUAGCGAGACUGCCGUUGACAAAACGGAGGAAGGCGGGGACGACGUCAAAUCAUCAUGCCCCUUAUGUCCCGGGCUACACACGUAAUACAAUGGCGGUCAACAGAGGGAAGCAAAGCCGCGAGGUGGAGCAAAUCCCCAAAAGCCGUCUCAGUUCGGAUUGCAGUCUGAAACCCGACUGCAUGAAGUUGGAAUUGCUAGUAAUCGCGGAUCAGCAUGCCGCGGUGAAUACGUUCCC
Molecule: ribosomal RNA, 999 nt
Filed under: uncultured bacterium
Lineage: Bacteria
Also listed under: 1 other name
Description: bacterial SSU rRNA
Rfam family: Bacterial small subunit ribosomal RNA
Source: RNAcentral